Molecule: RNA transcript, 923 nt
Organism: Camelus dromedarius (Arabian camel)
Lineage: Eukaryota; Metazoa; Chordata; Mammalia; Artiodactyla; Camelidae
Gene: UBL4A
Gene name: ubiquitin like 4A
Exons: 5
Source: RefSeq, a predicted model, not a curated record
GUUCCGGCGCGCGCCCGGGGCGGCGGCGCGCGGCGGGGGGCGGUUAGGGUGCGCGCCGGCCGGAGUGGACGCCGCCGUGGCCGCCAUGCAGCUGACGGUGAAGGCGCUCCAGGGCCGCGAGUGCAGCCUGCAGGUGUCGGAGGACGAGCUGGUGUCCACGCUGAAACAUCUAGUGUCCGAGAAGCUGAACGUCCCCGUGCGCCAGCAGCGGCUGCUGUUCAAGGGCAAGGCCCUGGCAGAUGGGAAAAGACUCUCCGAUUACAGCAUUGGGCCCAAUUCCAAGCUCAACCUAGUGGUCAAACCUCUGGAGAAGGUGUUACUGGAAGAAAGCACCGCCCGGAGACUUGCCGAGGCCCCGCCCCCAACCCCGGCCGCCUGGCAGCUCAUCUCCAAAGUCUUGGCCCACCACUUCAGUGCUGCAGAUGCCAGCAGAGUCCUGGACCAACUACAGAGGGAUUAUGAGAGGUCCCUGAGCCGCCUGACGCUGGAUGACAUCGAACGCUUGGCUGGCCGCUUUCUACACCCCGAAGUGACAGCAGCUAUGGAGAAGGGGUUCUCCAAGUAGGAUUCUCAGAGUGUGGGGAGGAGCCUGGCCAGGCCACAAGCUGCAUGUAGCAUUAAAUGUGUUCUCAUGUUGCAAUUUGGCUCAUAAUAAUAAUAGCUGGUGGGUACCCUGGUACCCGGCCCCAGCUCUUGUUAGGUGCCAGGCACCGCUCAAAUCACUUGACCUGGGUUUGCGCCCACACUUUGCACAAAAGCGUCUGCUUCAUCCCAGGCCUCCGCCUCAGGAUCAGAAGAUGGUUGCCUGCAGCCUCCACCAAAUCCCUCGAUCCCAGCCAGCAAGGAGCACCUUCACGCCCCAUAGUGUAGCUUCUUUCUCAGAUGCACCCAGCAAAUAAACGCUGUCCUUUCACUGGUCAGAA